CAUACGGGGGGAUGGCCUUUAGUACGGCGAGUGAGCGGCAAAAGCUCAAAUUUGAAAUCUGGCACCUUCGGUGUCCGAGUUGUAAUUUGAAGAAGGUAACUUUGGAGUUGGCUCUUGUCUAUGUUCCUUGGAACAGGACGUCACAGAGGGUGAGAAUCCCGUGCGAUGAGAUGCCCAAUUCUAUGUAAAGUGCUUUCGAAGAGUCGAGUUGUUUGGGAAUGCAGCUCUAAGUGGGUGGUAAAUUCCAUCUAAAGCUAAAUAUUGGCGAGAGACCGAUAGCGAACAAGUACAGUGAUGGAAAGAUGAAAAGAACUUUGAAAAGAGAGUGAAAAAGUACGUGAAAUUGUUGAAAGGGAAGGGCUUGAGAUCAGACUUGGUAUUUUGCGAUCCUUUCCUUCUUGGUUGGGUUCCUCGCAGCUUACUGGGCCAGCAUCGGUUUGGAUGGUAGGAUAAUGACUAAGGAAUGUGGCUCUACUUCGGUGGAGUGUUAUAGCCUUGGUUGAUACUGCCUGUCUAGACCGAGGACUGCGUCUUUUGACUAGGAUGUUGGCAUAAUGAUCUUAAGCCACCCGUCUUGAAAAAAGGGAACAAAAACCGAAGAAUUAAAAAAAAAAAAAAAAAAAAAAAAAAUUUUUAAUAAAAUAUACUGUUUAAGACAAUUUACGUUAGUGGUUAAUUCA
Molecule: ribosomal RNA, 680 nt
Filed under: Debaryomyces hansenii
Lineage: Eukaryota; Fungi; Ascomycota; Pichiomycetes; Serinales; Debaryomycetaceae
Description: partial large subunit ribosomal RNA
Rfam family: Eukaryotic large subunit ribosomal RNA (bases 1-585)
Source: RNAcentral